UUCAGAAACCUCAUGCAUUUCAGGACAUGGGGUACUCAGGUGUGAAUGUGUGCUGCUUUUGCCACUUUAUGAAUUAAAAAAAGGAAGAAACAAAUGGGGGGAAAAAAGCUGAGAUAUUGGCCAUUUCCUCACAAAUGAGACGUCUGCUUUUCAGUCUGUUCUGCUCGCUGAUGUUUCAGGCCCUGCUUUCUUGCUGAUGAAGCUUUCACAGCCAUUUCCAAGCACCCAAGCCUGCA
Molecule: long non-coding RNA, 236 nt
Organism: Aquila chrysaetos chrysaetos
Lineage: Eukaryota; Metazoa; Chordata; Aves; Accipitriformes; Accipitridae
Exons: 3
Source: RefSeq, a predicted model, not a curated record